This 74-nucleotide transfer RNA is filed under the name Ixodes scapularis (black-legged tick). It matches the Rfam family "tRNA". From Rfam's summary of the family: Transfer RNA (tRNA) molecules are approximately 80 nucleotides in length. Their secondary structure includes four short double-helical elements and three loops (D, anti-codon, and T loops). The record is from Rfam by way of RNAcentral. Lineage: Eukaryota; Metazoa; Arthropoda; Arachnida; Ixodida; Ixodidae.
CCCUGGUUAGCGCAGUUGGUAGAGCGCUCCACUGGAAAUGGAGAGGUCCCGGGUUCGUAUACCCGGACCAGGGG